RNAcentral lists this ribosomal RNA (253 nucleotides) under uncultured bacterium. RNAcentral describes it as "partial 16S ribosomal RNA". It matches the Rfam family "Bacterial small subunit ribosomal RNA", at positions 524 to 776 of the family's 1533-position model. The record is from RNAcentral.
UACAGAGGUGGCAAGCGUUGUUCGGAAUUACUGGGCGUAAAGGGCGAGUAGGUGGCCAUCUAAGUCAGACGUGAAAUCCCCCGGCUUAACCUGGGAACUGCGUCUGAUACUGGACGGCUUGAGUAUGGGAGAGGAACGUAGAAUUCCAGGUGUAGCGGUGAAAUGCGUAGAUAUCUGGAGGAAUACCGGUGGCGAAGGCGGCCUGCUGGGCUGUGGCUGACGCUGAGGCGCGACAGCGUGGGGAGCAAACAGG